AGUGAACGCUGGCGGUAGGCCUAACACAUGCAAGUCGAACGGCAGCACAGUAAGAGCUUGCUCUUACGGGUGGCGAGUGACGGACGGGUGAGGAAUACAUCGGAAUCUACUUUUUCUUGGGGGAUAACGUAGGGAAACUUACGCAAAUACCGCAUACGACCUACGGGUGAAAGCAGGGGAUCUUCGGACCUUGCGCGACUGAAUGAGCCGAUGUCGGAUUAGCUAGUUGGCGGGGUAAAGGCCCACCAAGGCAACGAUCCGUAGCUGGUCUGAGAGGAUGAUCAGCCACACUGGAACUGAGACACGGUCCAGACUCCUACGGGAGGCAGCAGUAGGGAAUAUUGGACAAUGGGCGCAAGCCUGAUCCAGCCAUACCGCGUGGGUGAAGAAGGCCUUCGGGUUGUAAAGCCCUUUUGUUGGGAAAGAAAAGCAGCAGGUUAAUACCCCGCUGUUCUGACGGUACCCAAAGAAUAAGCACCGGCUAACUUCGUG
RNAcentral lists this ribosomal RNA (492 nucleotides) under uncultured bacterium. RNAcentral describes it as "partial 16S ribosomal RNA". It matches the Rfam family "Bacterial small subunit ribosomal RNA", at positions 29 to 507 of the family's 1533-position model. The record is from RNAcentral.